RNAcentral lists this ribosomal RNA (264 nucleotides) under uncultured bacterium. RNAcentral's name for it is "partial 16S ribosomal RNA". The record is from RNAcentral.
CUGCUGCCUCCCGUAGAAGUUUGGACCGUGUCUCAGUUCCAAUGUGGGGGACCUUCCUCUCAGAACCCCUAUCCAUCGAUGCCUUGGUGGGCCGUUACCCCGCCAACAAGCUAAUGGAACGCAUCCCCAUCGAUGACCGAAAUUCUUUAAUAGUUCUACCAUGCGGAAGAACUAUGCCAUCGGGUAUUAAUCUUUCUUUCGGAAGGCUAUCCCCGAGUCAUCGGCAGGUUGGACACGUGUUACUCACCCGUGCGCCGGUCGCCA